RNAcentral lists this transfer RNA (72 nucleotides) under Flavobacteriaceae bacterium. RNAcentral's name for it is "tRNA-Met". It matches the Rfam family "tRNA". From Rfam's summary of the family: Transfer RNA (tRNA) molecules are approximately 80 nucleotides in length. The record is from RNAcentral. Lineage: Bacteria; Pseudomonadati; Bacteroidota; Flavobacteriia; Flavobacteriales; Flavobacteriaceae.
AGCAACAUAGCUCAGAGGAAGAGUAUCUGGCUCAUAACCAGAGAGUCGGUUGAUCGAAACAACCUGUUGCUA